This is a non-coding RNA of Trichophaea hybrida, 92 nucleotides long. NCBI's taxonomy places the organism in Eukaryota, Fungi, Ascomycota, Pezizomycetes, Pezizales, Pyronemataceae. The record is from the annotation of a GenBank genome assembly.
GCGCUAAUAGCUCAGUUGGGAGAGCGUCAGACUGAAGCCAAGCAUAACUCGGGGUAAUCUGAAGGUCACCCGUUCAAUCCGGGUUUGGCGCA